UACAAUGUGGUAUAGUGGUGAGCAUAGCUACCUUCCAAGCAAUUGACCUGUGUUCGAUUCCUAGCCAAUGCAC
Ameiurus melas (black bullhead) is the source of this 73-nucleotide non-coding RNA. The record is from the annotation of a GenBank genome assembly. NCBI's taxonomy places the organism in Eukaryota, Metazoa, Chordata, Actinopteri, Siluriformes, Ictaluridae.